This 460-nucleotide ribosomal RNA is filed under the name uncultured bacterium. Its description in RNAcentral is "partial 16S ribosomal RNA". It matches the Rfam family "Bacterial small subunit ribosomal RNA", at positions 338 to 795 of the family's 1533-position model. The record is from RNAcentral.
CCUACGGGGGGCUGCAGUGAGGAAUAUUGGUCAAUGGACGAGAGUCUGAACCAGCCAAGUAGCGUGAAGGAUGACUGCCCUAUGGGUUGUAAACUUCUUUUAUAAAGGAAUAAAACGAGGCACGUGUGCCUUUUUGCAUGUACUUUAUGAAUAAGGAUCGGCUAACUCCGUGCCAGCAGCCGCGGUAAUACGGAGGAUCCGAGCGUUAUCCGGAUUUGUUGGGUUUAAAGGGAGCGUAGAUGGGUUGUUAAGUCAGUUGUGAAAGUUUGCGGCUCAACCGUAAAAUUGCAAUUGAUACUGGCAGUCUUGAGUACAGUUGAGGUAGGCGGAAUUCGUGGUGUAGCGGUGAAAUGCUUAGAUAUCACGAAGAACCCCGAUUGCGAAGGCAGCUUACUAAACUGUGACUGACAUUGAUGCUCGAAAGUGUGGGUAUCAAACAGGAUUAGAUACCCGUGUAGUC